UCUCCGUUGGUGAACCAGCGGAGGGAUCAUUACUGCGAUAAGAAUGCUGGCUCGCCGUCCCCCCCGGGGGGCGGUGGCCGCCUUCCAUCCAGCACACCUGUUGUCUUACCGCCUGCCGGGCCGUGUUGCCUCGGCGGGGUGCGCCCUCCGUCCUCCGGGCCGGCGUCCGUGCCCCGCCGAAGGUACCGCCCACCAAACUCUUGUAUAUCAUAUGGACCUUCUGAGAAAGCUUAUAAAUAAGUCAAAACUUUCAACAACGGAUCUCUUGGUUAUGGCAUCGAUGAAGAACGCAGC
This 294-nucleotide unclassified non-coding RNA is filed under the name uncultured fungus. Its description in RNAcentral is "sequence contains ITS1, 5.8S rRNA gene". The stretch from base 246 to 294 matches the Rfam family "5.8S ribosomal RNA", at positions 1 to 49 of the family's 154-position model. Lineage: Eukaryota; Fungi. The record is from RNAcentral.